RNAcentral lists this ribosomal RNA (412 nucleotides) under Microbacterium sp. Its description in RNAcentral is "bacterial SSU rRNA". It matches the Rfam family "Bacterial small subunit ribosomal RNA", at positions 82 to 508 of the family's 1533-position model. Lineage: Bacteria; Bacillati; Actinomycetota; Actinomycetes; Micrococcales; Microbacteriaceae. The record is from RNAcentral.
GCUUGGUGGAUCAGUGGCGAACGGGUGAGUAACACGUGAGCAACCUGCCCUGGACUCUGGGAUAAGCGCUGGAAACGGCGUCUAAUACUGGAUAUGAGACGUGAUCGCAUGGUCGUGUUUGGAAAGAUUUUUCGGUCUGGGAUGGGCUCGCGGCCUAUCAGCUUGUUGGUGAGGUAAUGGCUCACCAAGGCGUCGACGGGUAGCCGGCCUGAGAGGGUGACCGGCCACACUGGGACUGAGACACGGCCCAGACUCCUACGGGAGGCAGCAGUGGGGAAUAUUGCACAAUGGGCGGAAGCCUGAUGCAGCAACGCCGCGUGAGGGAUGACGGCCUUCGGGUUGUAAACCUCUUUUAGCAGGGAAGAAGCGAAAGUGACGGUACCUGCAGAAGAAGCGCCGGCUAACUACGUAG